RNAcentral lists this ribosomal RNA (310 nucleotides) under uncultured microorganism. RNAcentral describes it as "bacterial SSU rRNA". It matches the Rfam family "Bacterial small subunit ribosomal RNA", at positions 9 to 319 of the family's 1533-position model. The record is from RNAcentral.
GAGUUUGAUCUUGGCUCAGAUUGAACGCUGGCGGCAUGCCUUACACAUGCAAGUCGAACGGUAACGGGUCCUUCGGGAUGCCGACGAGUGGCGAACGGGUGAGUAAUAUAUCGGAACGUGCCCAGUAGUGGGGAGUAACUGCUCGAAAGAGCAGCUAAUACCGCAUACGACCUGAGGGUGAAAGGGGGGGAGUCGCAAGACCUCUCGCUAUUGGAGCGGCCGAUAUCAGAUUAGCUAGUUUGGUGGGGUAAAGGCCUACCAAGGCAACGAUCUGUAGUUGGUCUGAGAGGACGACCAGCCACACUGGGAC